RNAcentral lists this ribosomal RNA (1558 nucleotides) under uncultured bacterium. Its description in RNAcentral is "bacterial SSU rRNA". It matches the Rfam family "Bacterial small subunit ribosomal RNA". The record is from RNAcentral.
AGAGUUUGAUCCUGGCUCAGAGCGAACGCUGGCGGCGUGCCUAACACAUGCAAGUCGAACGUGAACGGAGCAAUCCUAGUAAAGUGGCGUACGGGUGAGUAACACGUAGGUAAUCUACCUUACAGUUCGGAAUAACCUGACGAAAGUCGGGCUAAUACUGGAUAGAGCGACGGAAGCCGUAACGGUUUUUUCGGGAAAGGGAGCUCGAUAAGAGCCUUCGCUGUAAGAUGAGCCUGCGUCUGAUUAGUUAGUUGGUGGGGUAAUGGCCUACCAAGACGAUGAUCAGUAGCUGGUCUGAGAGGAUGAUCAGCCACACUGGAACUGAAACACGGUCCAGACUCCUACGGGAGGCAGCAGUGGGGAAUCUUGCGCAAUGGACGAAAGUCUGACGCAGCCACGCCGCGUGGAGUGAAAGAGGGGCUUCGGGUUGUAAAGCUCUGUCACCUGGGGACGAAAAACACUGACGGUUAAUAGCCCGUCCGGAAUUUGACGGUACCAGGGGAGGGAAGCACCGGCUAACUUCGUGCCAGCAGCCGCCGGUAAUACGAAAGGGGCAAGCGUUGCUCCGAAUUAAUGGGCGUAAAGGGUUGGGUAGGGGGGCCUGGUUUGUCUAAGGGGAAAUCCCCCUGGCUUAACUGUGGGAAGUGCCUUAAAAACGGCAAGAACUAGAAGUUCUCUAGGGGGGUUGUGGGAAUUCCCGGUGGUUGCGUAAAAAUUGCGGUAAGGAGAUCGGGAGAACACCCGCGCGCGAGAGCGGCGGCCAAACUGGUAUAGAUACUGGACCACUCCACCAACAGAAGGCGUGGGGAAGCAAACCAGUUAGAUACCCUGUAGCCCACGCUGUAAAACAGAUGAGUGCUGGGCUUGUGUGGGAAAUAGCCCCCCUGCAAGCGCGGGAGUUACCCCAAUUAUUUCCCCCCCUGGGAAAGUACUGUCCCAAGGUUAAAUCUCAAAAGGAAUUGGGGGGGGCCCCCCCCAAGCGGUGGUUCAUGUGUUUUAUUUGGAAGCACCGCGCAAAACCUUCCCGGGUUUGACUUCCCCGACCCGGGUAAAAAUACAGUUUUGGUACCAUUCCACCCGGGAGCCAGUUGCCCCAGGGCUUUCUUCACCUGGUGGGGGACCAUGUUGGGUUAAUUCCCCCCACCCGAGCCCAACCCUUUCCUUUUAGUUCCCACCUUUAAGUUGGCCCCUUUGGAGGGACUGCCGUGGUUACCAGGGAGGAAGGUGGGGGAUGACGUCAAAGUCCUUCAUGGCCUUUAUUUCCAGGGCGACCCCACGUGAUACAAUGGAUGACACAAAGGGAAGCGAACCCGCGAGGGGGAGCGAAUCUCAAAAAGUCAUUCUCAGUUCGGAUUGGAGUCUGCAACUCGACUCCAUGAAGCUGGAAUCGCUAGUAAUCGCGGAUCAGAACGCCGCGGUGAAUACGUUCCCGGGCCUUGUACACACCGCCCGUCACACCAUGGGAGCUGACUCAACCAGAAAACGAUCAGGCUAACCGUAAGGGGGCCUUCGUUGAAGGUGGGGUUGGUAACUGGGGUGAAGUCGUAACAAGGUAACC